AUUGAACGCUGGCGGCAGGCCUAACACAUGCAAGUCGAGCGGAUGAAGGGAGCUUGCUCCUGGAUUCAGCGGCGGACGGGUGAGUAAUGCCUAGGAAUCUGCCUGGUAGUGGGGGAUAACGUCCGGAAACGGGCGCUAAUACCGCAUACGUCCUGAGGGAGAAAGUGGGGGAUCUUCGGACCUCACGCUAUCAGAUGAGCCUAGGUCGGAUUAGCUAGUUGGUGGGGUAAAGGCCUACCAAGGCGACGAUCCGUAACUGGUCUGAGAGGAUGAUCAGUCACACUGGAACUGAGACACAGUCCAAACUCCUACGGGAGGCAGCAGUGGGGAAUAUAGGACAAUGGGCGAAAGCCUGAUCCAGCCAUGCCGCGUGUGUGAAGAAGGUCUUCGGAUUGUAAAGCACUUUAAGUUGGGAGGAAGGGCAGUAAGUUAAUACCUUGCUGUUUUGACGUUACCAACAGAAUAAGCACCGGCUAACUUCGUG
Molecule: ribosomal RNA, 484 nt
Filed under: uncultured bacterium
Lineage: Bacteria
Description: partial 16S ribosomal RNA
Rfam family: Bacterial small subunit ribosomal RNA
Source: RNAcentral